This 427-nucleotide ribosomal RNA is filed under the name uncultured bacterium. Its description in RNAcentral is "bacterial SSU rRNA". It matches the Rfam family "Bacterial small subunit ribosomal RNA", at positions 355 to 773 of the family's 1533-position model. The record is from RNAcentral.
UGGGGAAUAUUGGGCAAUGGGCGAAAGCCUGACCCAGCCAUGCCGCGUGAGUGAUGAAGGCCUUCGGGUCGUAAAGCUCUGUGGGGAGGGAAGAACAACCUUGUGGCUAAUAUCCACGUGGCUUGACGGUACCUCCUUAGCAAGCACCGGCUAACUCCGUGCCAGCAGCCGCGGUAAUACGGAGGGUGCAAACGUUGCUCGGAAUUAUUGGGCGUAAAGCGCACGUAGGCGGCUUGUUAAGUCGGAUGUGAAAGCCCCAGGCUCAACCUGGGAAGUGCAUACGAAACUGGCGAGCUUGAAUAUGGAAGAGGGUCGCGGAAUUCCCGGUGUAGAGGUGAAAUUCGUAGAUAUCGGGAGGAACACCAGUGGCGAAGGCGGCGACCUGGGCCAAUAUUGACGCUGAGGUGCGAAAGCGUGGGGAGCAAAC